Molecule: long non-coding RNA, 1340 nt
Filed under: Apteryx rowi (Okarito brown kiwi)
Lineage: Eukaryota; Metazoa; Chordata; Aves; Apterygiformes; Apterygidae
Description: lncRNA (ENSARWG00000007008.1)
Source: RNAcentral
AGCGCGCCGAGCCGUAAAGCGAGGGCGGCGGGGUUCCCCCUUCCCCCCCUUCCGCGCCCGAACGGCUGCGGCGGUUGGGCCGGGCAGAGGCAGCGGUGGCGGCAGGGCGGUUGGGAGCGCGGCUGUGGYGGGGGGCGCCCGCUUCGCCCCGCCGGGGGGUCCCGUCAGCAGGGCCGGUGCGCCCCCGCGGGAAGGGAGCUCCCUGCGGUUCAGUGCUGCCUGCAGAUGCCCACGGGUAGCAGAAUGCGGGUCCCCGCACCAGGCAGGUGGCUUGUCUGGGAUAAGGUGCCGCCAGGCCUCAUUUACUGCGUGCUCUCCUUUCCUUGCCRGCUUGUCCUACGGUGCUCCUCCAUGAUGCAGCUACAGGCUUUAAGAACGGCCUCCCUGUGAGCUAAAGAAGUACUUUCAACUGAAUAAUGAUGUUAAAAGUGGCAACUAAUUUUGAGUGCCCAAUUUGUCUGUAUCCUGCUACUCCCUAGUGUAGUCAACUGUAUUUCAUGUAGCCCCUUACUUAUUCUGAGCACAGCCAUCACUGUCUCCUCUCUGCAGCUGCAUGUGCCCAAAACUUUUGUGAAUUCAGAGAAUAGAUUUUCUGAACCCAGUAAAAGAGGAACUUCCACUGGCCGUCUUCAGAAAUUUGACUUAAGUGAUUUGUUCAAUUCCCCAUCAGAAUUUUGUUCAGCUAUCUUAGCAAGAAUAUCAUCAUCCUGUCUUUACAAUCACUUAUUCCUCCUAAAAACUUGCAAGCUUCACUGCAAAAAAUGAGGCAGGGUUCUAACAAGAAAAAAAAAAGUCUCAUUGACUUGAAAAAUGAGGGCAUUGUGUUUAUCUUUAUAAAUACAAGACACAUCUCACUUUCUUUUGUUUGCAUUAUCCCACCUGAUUAAAAAGAGUUACACUGAAGGAUACCGUCAAAGAAGGUGCAAACAGAAAACAAUUCAAUCRCCAAAAACAUGAAAUGCAGUGCAAGAGAACACCAAUAGCUCUUGAAGUUAUGGAGGGAAGCUGUUAAUAAGGAAUAUUCUUACCUGUCUCUAGUAACAAUAACAAGGCGUUUAUUGUUCCUACACCUGAAGUAAAACUCAAAAUGGAUGCCAAAACUGUAACAGUUAUUACCCUAAGGAAAGGGUGUUUGAGUAUGGAGUCAACAGCUGGACAUGCUGGUGGCAUCUAGUCAGCAGCCUUUCCCAAACUAGAGAGGGAAGAAACUGGGAUGAAGAGAACCUGCAAACACUGAAAAGAUUAUAAAACAGUUAAGCUCCUGCUGUGAUAUCUUUGCUUUCUGUGCUACGUAUCUCUGGGAGAAUAAAUAAAGUUUUGCUUUGAAGGAGCUGCUACUG